AAGUUGUAUAGGAACUAAUUUUAUAGCCAUCUCACUCUUUCCAUUGGUUUCACUCUCCUUAUUUAACAGUUAUCCAGGACUUGACUUCCUCUGCUCUUGGACCCUAUGAAGAAGCUGGAUCAUGACUCUGGAAGGGGGUGGUUGGAACUCAGGGUGAAAAUGAAGAGGCUGGCAAGCUGCCACUUGAGAGAAGAUGCACAGAGUCUUGAAGAUUUGAACCAGACUAUACCAGGAGGUAAAAAUUGGACUAAUUUACAUGUACAUGUGUGCUAUAUGCACACACUCACACAGAAAUACACACACACACACAGUGAGUCAAGCAGAGUAUUCCCUGAAGAAAACAAAAAAAUAGAACAUCUGAGGAGUCAACAAAGACACAGUUUGUUCACUCAUUCACUCAUUCCUUCAUUCUUUCAAUAUUUAUGUAACUCCUACCUAAUACUCUGCACUGAAGAAGAUAUUAUGGGAACAAAAUGCCCAAAUAUCUUUAAGGAACUAGAAUUAAUUGGAGGUACUAUUUCCAUAUGUAUAUGUGUGUAUGUGUGUUUGGAGGGGGUGGUAGUGGUUAGUGUAUUUCUCCAGCCAACUCUACUACAUUCCUGCCUCAGGCUGAUGCUGAACACCUCACACUGGUGUUUGAAUUAAUUUAUUUCUAACACUGUAGAGGCCUAUCAAGAAUAUGGGGCUUCCCAGGUGGUAAAGAACCCGCAUGCCAAUGCAGGAGACUUAAGAGACACAGGUUUGAUUCCUGGGUUGGGAAGAUCCCCUGGAGGAGGGCAUGGCAACCCACUCCAGUAUUCUUGCCUGAAGAAUCCCAUGGACAGAGGAGCCUGGUGGGCUAUAGUCCACAGGGUCACAAAGAGUCAGACACGAAUGAAGUGACUGAACACAAACACGCACACCUCAAGAAUAUGCUUCUAGCUUUCAAAAGGAUGGACUGAGCAUGUGUGAUUCACUUAAAGCUUCACUGUCCACUGUGGUAGCCACAUGUGGCUCUUUAAAUUAGUGAAAAUUAAAUUAGAUUAAGAUUUAGUUUUUCAGACUAGUCACGUCUCAAAUGCUCAGUAGCAGAAUGUGGCUCAGUUCAGUUCAGUCCCUCAGUCGUGUUUGACUCUUUGCGACCCCAUGAAUUGCAGCACGCCAGGCCUCCCUGUCCAUCACCAACUCCCGGAGCUUACUCAAACUCACGUCCAUCGAGUUGGUGAUGCCAUCCAACCAUCUCAUCCUCUAUUGUCCCCUUCUCCUCCUGCCUUCAAUAUUUCCCAGCAUCGGGUAUUUUCCAGUGAGUCAGCUCUUCUCAUCAGGUGGCCAAAGUAUUGGAGUUUCAGCUUCAGCAUCAGUC
RNAcentral lists this long non-coding RNA (1342 nucleotides) under Bos indicus x Bos taurus (hybrid cattle). Its description in RNAcentral is "lncRNA (ENSBIXG00000010358.1)". Lineage: Eukaryota; Metazoa; Chordata; Mammalia; Artiodactyla; Bovidae. The record is from RNAcentral.